Molecule: ribosomal RNA, 446 nt
Filed under: uncultured bacterium
Lineage: Bacteria
Description: partial 16S ribosomal RNA
Rfam family: Bacterial small subunit ribosomal RNA
Source: RNAcentral
GUGAGGAAUAUUGCGCAAUGGACGAAAGUCUGACGCAGCCAUGCCGCGUGAAGGAUUGACGGCCCUAUGGGUUGUAAACUUCUUUUGUAUAGGAAUAAACCCUCGUUCGUGAACGAGGCUGAAGGUACUAUAAGAAUAAGCACCGGCUAACUCCGUGCCAGCAGCCGCGGUAAUACGGAGGGUGCAAGCGUUAUCCGGAUGUAUUGGGUUUAAAGGGUCCGUAGGCGGAUCGUUAAGUCAGUGGUUAAAUCCUACCGCUCAACGGUAGAACUGCCAUUGAUACUGGCGAUCUUGAGUAUGUUUGAAGUUGGCGGAAUGUGUGGUGUAGCGGUGAAAUGCUUAGAUAUCACACAGAACACCGAUUGCGAAGGCAGCUGACUAAUACACAACUGACGCUGAGGGACGAAAGUGUGGGGAUCAAACAGGAUUAGAUACCCCAGUAGUCC